This 69-nucleotide transfer RNA is filed under the name Conchocele cf. bisecta HPD1644. Its description in RNAcentral is "tRNA-Ser". Lineage: Eukaryota; Metazoa; Mollusca; Bivalvia; Lucinida; Thyasiridae. The record is from RNAcentral.
GAAGGAAAGUAGGACUAAAUUCAGACUUCUAAUCUGUUAUUUGAGCAGUUCAAGUCUGUUCUUCCUUUU